GACGAACGCUGGCGGCUUGCUUAACACAUGCAAGUCGAACGGUAAGGCCCCUUCGGGGGUACACGAGUGGCGAACGGGUGAGUAACACGUGAGCAACCUGCCCUUGACUCUGGGAUAACAGUUAGAAACAGCUGCUAAUACCGGAUACGACCUUCGAUGACAUCAUCUGGAGGUGGAAAGCGCUUUAGCGGUCAAGGAUGGGCUCGCGGCCUAUCAGCUUGUUGGUGAGGUAACGGCUCACCAAGGCUUCGACGGGUAGCCGGCCUGAGAGGGCGACCGGCCACACUGGGGCUGCGAUACGGCCCAGACUCCUACGAGAGGCAGCAGUGGGGAAUAUUGCACAAUGGGCGCGAGCCUGAUGCAGCAACGCCGCGUGCGGGAUGACGGCCUUCGGGUUGUAAACCGCUUUCAGUUCCGACGAAGCGCAAGUGACGGUAGGAACGGAAGAAGGACCGGCCAACUACGUGCCAGCCGCCGCAGUAA
Molecule: ribosomal RNA, 483 nt
Filed under: uncultured bacterium
Lineage: Bacteria
Description: partial 16S ribosomal RNA
Rfam family: Bacterial small subunit ribosomal RNA
Source: RNAcentral